This 301-nucleotide ribosomal RNA is filed under the name uncultured bacterium. RNAcentral describes it as "partial 16S ribosomal RNA". It matches the Rfam family "Bacterial small subunit ribosomal RNA", at positions 509 to 807 of the family's 1533-position model. The record is from RNAcentral.
CAGCAGCCGCGGUAAUACGUAGGUGGCAAGCGUUGUCCGGAUUUAUUGGGCGUAAAGCGAGCGCAGGCGGUCAAUUAAGUCUGAUGUGAAAGCCCCCGGCUCAACCGGGGAGGGUCAUUGGAAACUGGUUGACUUGAGUGCAGAAGAGGAGAGUGGAAUUCCACGUGUAGCGGUGAAAUGCGUAGAGAUGUGGAGGAACACCAGUGGCGAAGGCGACUCUCUGGUCUGUAACUGACGCUGAGGAGCGAAAGCGUGGGGAGCGAACAGGAUUAGAUACCCGGGUAGUCCCUGUCUCUUAUAC